UGAAUACGAGACGCUAAGGCGUCGAAGUAGUGUAUGUCAUACUUCCAAGAAAAGCUUGCACUGUCAUAGAUAAAAAACGCCUGUACCAUAACCGACACAGGUGGGUAGGUAGAGUAUACUAAGGGGCGCGAGAUAACUCUCUCUAAGGAACUCGGCAAAAUAACUCCGUAACUUCGGGAGAAGGAGUGCCUUAUUCGUAAGGUUGCAAUAACAAGAUCCAAGCAACUGUUUAUCAAAAACACAGGUCUCCGCUAAGUCGUAAGACGAUGUAUGGGGGCUGACGCCUGCCCAGUGCCAGAAGGUUAAAGAAGUUGGUUAGCAAUUGCGAAGCUGAUAACUGAAGCCCUGGUGAACGGCGGCCGUAACAAUAACGUCCUAAGGUAGCGAAAUUCCUUGUCGGGUAAGUUCCGACCCGCACGAAAGGCGUAAUGAUUUGGAUACUGUCUCGGAGAGGGGCUCGGUGAAAUAGACUUGUCUGUGAAGAUGCGGACUACCUGCACCAGGACAGAAAGACCCUAUGAAGCUUUACUGUAACUUGAAAUUGAAAUUGGACUUUAUUCGCGCAGUAUAGGUGGGAGGCGUUGAUUAUAAUCUUGUGGGAUUAUUGGAGCCAUCAGUGAGAUACCACUCUUGUAAUGUUAGAUUUCUAACUUUGAAUCAUUAUCUGGUCAAAGAACAGUUUCAGGCGGGCAGUUUGACUGGGGCGGUCGCCUCCUAAACGGUAACGGAGGCGUACAAAGGUUUCCUCUGAACGGUUAGAAAUCGUAUCUAGAGUGUAAAGGCAUAAGGAAGCUUGACUGUGAGACCUACAAGUCGAGCAGGGACGAAAGUCGGUCUUAGUGAUCUGACGGUACUGAGUGGAAAGGCCGUCACUCAACGGAUAAAAGUUACUCUAAGGAUAACAGGCUGAUCUCCCCCAAGAGUUCACAUCGACGGGGAGGUUUGGCACCUCGAUGUCGGCUCAUCGCAUCCUGGGGCGGUAGUACGUCCCAAGGGUUGGGCUGUUCGCCCAUGAAAGCGGUACGCGAGCUGGGUUCAGAACGUCGUGAGACAGUUCGGUCCAUAUCCGGUGUAGGCGUUAGAAUAUUGAGAGGAGCCUUCUUUAGUACGAGAGGACCGAGAAGGACAUACCUCUGGUGUACCAGUUAUCGUGCCAACGGUAAACGCUGGGUAGCUAUGUAUGGAGUGGAUAACCGCUGAAAGCAUCUAAGUGGGAAGCCCACCUCAAGAUAAG
RNAcentral lists this ribosomal RNA (1234 nucleotides) under metagenome. RNAcentral's name for it is "bacterial LSU rRNA". It matches the Rfam family "Bacterial large subunit ribosomal RNA", at positions 1564 to 2808 of the family's 2925-position model. The record is from RNAcentral.